Molecule: ribosomal RNA, 468 nt
Filed under: uncultured bacterium
Lineage: Bacteria
Description: partial 16S ribosomal RNA
Rfam family: Bacterial small subunit ribosomal RNA
Source: RNAcentral
GACGAGCGCUGGCGGCGUGCUUAACACAUGCAAGUCGAACGGAAAGGCCCUGCUUUUGUGGGGUGCUCGAGCGGCGAACGGGUGAGUAACACGUGAGUAACCUGCCCUUGACUUUGGGAUAACUUCAGGAAACUGGGGCUAAUACCGGAUAGGAGCUCCUGCUGCAUGGUGGGGGUUGGAAAGUUUCGGCGGUUGGGGAUGGACUCGCGGCUUAUCAGCUUGUUGGUGGGGUAGUGGCUUACCAAGGCUUUGACGGGUAGCCGGCCUGAGAGGGUGACCGGCCACAUUGGGACUGAGAUACGGCCCAGACUCCUACGGGAGGCAGCAGUGGGGAAUAUUGCACAAUGGGCGGAAGCCUGAUGCAGCAACGCCGCGUGCGGGAUGACGGCCUUCGGGUUGUAAACCGCUUUCGCCUGUGACGAAGCGUGAGUGACGGUAAUUGGUAAAGAAGCACCGGCUAACUACGUG